RNAcentral lists this ribosomal RNA (315 nucleotides) under uncultured microorganism. Its description in RNAcentral is "bacterial SSU rRNA". It matches the Rfam family "Archaeal small subunit ribosomal RNA", at positions 330 to 646 of the family's 1478-position model. The record is from RNAcentral.
GUGCAGCAGUCGCGAAUACUUUACAAUGCGGGAAACCGUGAUAAGGGAACCUCGAGUGCUGGCGCAUAGCGUCGGCUGUCCAGAUGCCUAAAAGCAUCUGAUAGCAAGGGCCGGGCAAGACCGGUGCCAGCCGCCGCGGUAACACCGGCGGCUCGAGUGGUGGCCACGUUUAUUGGGUCUAAAGCGUCCGUAGCCGGCUCGGCAAGUCCCCUGGGAAAUCUGGCGGCUCAACCGUCAGGCGUCCAGAGGAUACUGCUGGGCUUGGGACCGGGAGAGGUGAGAGGUACCUCAGGGGUAGGGGUGAAAUCUUGUGAU